Molecule: non-coding RNA, 97 nt
Organism: Chelonoidis abingdonii (Abingdon island giant tortoise)
Lineage: Eukaryota; Metazoa; Chordata; Testudines; Testudinidae
Source: RefSeq, a predicted model, not a curated record
UCUCACCACAGGCUGGCUGGUUGCCCUUCAGCCAGGCUCACCCCUUUGAUUAGCACUUCAGUCCCUUGGUGGUGGUAUCUCAGGUGGUCAAGUAUGG